This 402-nucleotide ribosomal RNA is filed under the name uncultured bacterium. RNAcentral describes it as "bacterial SSU rRNA". It matches the Rfam family "Bacterial small subunit ribosomal RNA", at positions 917 to 1322 of the family's 1533-position model. The record is from RNAcentral.
GGGCCCGCACAAGCGGUGGAGCAUGUGGUUUAAUUCGAUGAUACGCGAGGAACCUUACCAGGGCUUAAAUGUAAGUUGCAUUAGUUAGAGAUAACUAUUUCUUCGGACCACUUACAAGGUGCUGCAUGGUUGUCGUCAGCUCGUGCCGUGAGGUGUCAGGUUAAGUCCUAUAACGAGCGCAACCCCUGUUGUUAGUUGCCAGCGAUUCAAGUCGGGAACUCUAACAAGACUGCCGGUGCAAACCGUGAGGAAGGUGGGGAUGACGUCAAAUCAUCACGGCCCUUACGUCCUGGGCUACACACGUGCUACAAUGGUAGGGACAGAGAGCAGCCACUACGCGAGUAGGAGCGAAUCUUCAAAGCCGAUCACAGUUCGGAUCGGAGUCUGCAACUCGACUCCGUG